UCUAAGGAAUGUGGGAAGUCCUUUAAUCGUGUCUCAAACCGUGUUCAACGUCAGAGUAUGUAUGUUGGUGUAAAACCAGGUGAAUGUAAGGAGUCUGGGAAAGGCUUCAAUCAUGGUUCAAACCUUAUUCAGCAUCAGAAAAUUAAUUCUAGCGAGAAACUCUUUGUAUGUAAGGUGUGGAGGAAGAUCUUUAGAUAUCAUUACCAACUUAUUGAACAUUACCAAAUUCAUACUGGUGGAAAACCCUUUGAAUGUAAAGAAUGUGGAAAAACCUUUAGUUUUCUGACACAGCUUGCUCAACGUUAGGUCAUUCAUACUGAUGAGAAGCCAUUUGAAUCUGAGGAACAUGGGAAGGCCUUUAGUAGUGGCUCAAACUUUGUUCAACAUCAGAGUAUCCAUACUAGUGAGAAACUCUAUGAAUGUAAGGAGUGUGGGAAAACUUUUAGAUUUACUAUUGUCUUCACUGCACCUCAAAGAAUUCAUAACAGUAUGAAAUCCUUUGAAUGUAAGGAAUGUGGGAAGACCUUUAGUUGUAGCUCAAAGCUUGUUCAACUUGUUAAAAUUCAUACCGGUGAGAAACCGUAUAAUGUAAGGAAUGUGAGAAAGCAUAUGCUGUGGAUGAUCAGCUUACUCAACAUUAGAAAAUUCAUAAUAGAAAUUUUAUGAAUAUCAGGAGUGUGGACAAGCCUUCACUGUAUAUGAAAAAUUUACUCAAUGCCAGAGAACUCAUAUGGUUGAGAAAUCCUGUGAACAAAAAAGAAUGUGCGGCGAACUUUCAUCAUGGCCUGGGAUUUGCGUAACAUCAGAGUAUUCAUACUGCUGAGAAAUCCUUUGAGUGUAAGGAAUGUGGGGUGUUUUAUGGCAACUCUAAAUACAGUAGAGUUCAGAGAAGACAAUUCUUAUGAGAAAGUCUUUGAAUGAGGAAUAUAGGGCAGUUGUCACAUUCACAGUAUACUCCAUAUGCAAUGCUUUACCAGAUACAGGCAUACCUCACUUAAUUGUGCACACGGUUAUUGUGUUUUAUGCAAUUUGAAGGUUUGUGGCAACCCCACAGUGAGUAAGAUGAUCAGAGUCAUUUUCCAAACAUCAUGUGUCCAUUUUGUGUCUUUAUGUCACGUUUUGAUAAUUCUCAGAAUAUUUCAAAGUUUUUCAUUGUUAUAUGUCCAUCAUGGUGACCAAUGACCAGUGAUUUUGUAUGUUACUGUUGUAAUUGCUUUGGGAUACCACAAACAUUGCCCAUAAAAGAUGGUGAACCUAGUUGAUACUUGUUGUGGGUUUUGAAAAAAUAGUCAAAUAUACAAUCAUAUACCCCCACCUAGAUACAAAAUUGUUAACAAUUUGCCAUGUUUAUUUUUUGUAUAUUUGUUGUGCCAUAGAGAAUAAGUUUUACACUUCACGACACUUUACCCCUUAUUUAAUCAGCAUGGGUAUCACCCAAACAUAAAGACAAUAUCAUAUAGCCAUAGUAUCAUAAUUACCCUUAAGGAAAUUAUUCAUAAUUCUGUAAAAACAUUCCAUUUUCAGAUUUCUUCAUUGGCCCCCAAACCAUCUUUUAUGGCUAUUCAUACUUAAAGGAGAAUCCAUUGCAGAUUCUGAAUUGUACUUGGCUCUCUCUCUUCAGUAUAUUGUAGCCUGGAAACCCUAUAAAUGUAAGAUCUCAUAUUUUGGUAGGUAUUAGAAUUACCUGUGGAACUUAGUAAAACUGCAGAGGCUUAAGCCCUAGCUUAUAAGCCUGGGCCUCUGUGUUUUAUUUUAUUUCUCCAGGUGAUUGUGAUACCAACCAGAGUUAGAGAGCCACUGGUCUAGAACAUUUCUCCUCAUUCUUAAAAAAUGACAUUAAAUUUUGUCUAGCCCAGGAAAGUUGUCUGCUGUGUGUUUAGAUUUCUUUCUUUAUAGUGUCAUUUAGCCUUGUUCUCUUUGUUGUAUAUUCUGUACAAGGGAGUUUGAGUCCAGAGGCUCUGUUAGGUCUAGAUUAAACAUUUUGGGGAAGAAUGCUUUGUAGGUUAUUUGUAUGUCAUGUUUUAUUGUCAGAAAACAUUUAAGUACAGGUCCUUGAAUUAGUGAAACUAAGUUUGAUCAUUUGGGUAAGCUGGUAGCUACAAUGUUAAGUAAUCUGUAGAGAGACUUUGUCACCCCUGAAAAAUUAUAGUCAUGUGUAUUUUAUCCCUGGAUUGAAUACAAAAUGAAAAUAGAAAUAGACUAUUCAGAAAUGAAUGCCAUGAAGGUAUCAACAUAAUUCAACUUGUGUGAUAUGGCUGACACUGUACUCAGUACAAAAUUAGCACCCUCUAGUUUAUGCAGGGAGCCAAGGUUGUUUUGUCUGGAACCCUGUUUUUGUUCAGCAUUUAUCACCAGCAUCUAUACCAUGUCUGGUACAUGAGCUGUUGAUAAACUUUGAAAAAAAUUAAGCACUUAAAUCAAGCUAUAAAAUGUGAUACCAUUGUGGGAUCAUGAAUUAUAUUAAUUUUUUAAAAGAUCAAUAGUAAUCCUUUAUGAUUUUAUUCCAGUAUAUUUAAAAAUCUAUAAAGUGAUAAUUUAUAUUGAUAGCUUUCUUCUUUUUGUGAAUAUACCCUUAUCAGAUUAUUAUUGUUUUGAUAGACAAUUCUAUUUCUUAACAUUUAAUUGCACCUAUAAUCAUUAAAGUUAUAAUUUUCUAAAUAAUUUUUCAGGUUUUGUUAUUGCAAUGAUUUUAUAAAUCUUAUAAAACACAGUUAUAUAAAACUUGGCUUUCUAAUCUCAUGUUCCUAUUUUUUAUUUCCAGUUUCAUCUUUUUUGUAUUGAUUCUCUUUGACUUUUUUUUUUUUUUUUAACUCAACAGAUUCCCUGGGUAUUAACCCAGCACAACUCGUUUAUGGGUCAUUGCACAUCCUGGUAGUAUCAUUAAGGAUUUUCAUGAAAGAUCCCUGGAGACCUUGCAAUGAAACUCUUAUUAUCAUGCAAUCUUGGCAUUUCUAAGUUGGAAGUCAGAGUCCUUUUGCAAACAUAAUAAAACACUUCAAAGUAUUUGCUAAAGUUACAAACCAAGUAUGUACAAAUUUAAAAACCACCUUAUACUUUUAAAAGCAGAAAAGGCAUCCAAGGAAUAUUUCCUUGCUUACAAGCUCAGUGAAUGUGCGGAAUUCACUUACAAAAAGAAUUUUCUCAAAUUUAGUUGCCUUUCAAAAAAAUUCUUAUUUCUUUUAUUUGUAAUUCUUUGACACUGUUGCUGCUUCAAGGUUUUGGUAAUUGGACAAUAUGGUCUUUAUUAUGCUAUUAACAUUUUUACUUGUCCUGAAAGAAGGGAAUACAAUCAAAGAAACAGAAGGUUGCCGUAACUCGAACCACAUUAUGAUAUCAGGAUGACCCAGAGCCAUGGUUACUAAGCUGUUUAAAUUUUUAGUAACAGAGGUGUAUUAGAAAGUGAUAGGUCAAUUAAAUAAUUUUUUUAAUAAAUUUAAUGAUAGAAUCCCCUUAAAUUAUGCUUAGUCAGCAGUAUUUAAUCUGUUGUCUAUUAUACACCUAACUGGUCUGUUACCUUUCUUAUAUAUUUAUGUAUUGCUUAUAAAUAUCUUAUUAGAGUAACUCAUUUUUAAAACAAUAUAUUUCAUCUCCUAGGA
Cebus imitator (Panamanian white-faced capuchin) is the source of this 3596-nucleotide RNA transcript. It is a transcript of the gene named zinc finger protein 780B-like, with no coding region annotated. The record is from RefSeq and is a predicted model, not a curated record. The transcript has a single exon. NCBI's taxonomy places the organism in Eukaryota, Metazoa, Chordata, Mammalia, Primates, Cebidae.